UACGGAGGGGGCGAGCGUUGUUCGGAAUUAUUGGGCGUAAAGGGCGCGUAGGCGGCUGAUCAAGUCGGGUGUGAAAUCCCUCGGCUCAACCGAGGAACUGCACCCGAUACUGGUCGGCUAGAGUCCGGGAGGGGAUGGCGGAAUUCCCAGUGUAGCGGUGAAAUGCGUAGAUAUUGGGAAGAACACCAGUGGCGAAGGCGGCCAUCUGGACCGGAACUGACGCUGAGGCGCGAAAGCCAGGGGAGCGAAUGGG
RNAcentral lists this ribosomal RNA (253 nucleotides) under uncultured bacterium. RNAcentral's name for it is "partial 16S ribosomal RNA". It matches the Rfam family "Bacterial small subunit ribosomal RNA", at positions 524 to 776 of the family's 1533-position model. The record is from RNAcentral.